Molecule: ribosomal RNA, 322 nt
Filed under: uncultured eukaryote
Lineage: Eukaryota
Description: partial 18S ribosomal RNA
Rfam family: Eukaryotic small subunit ribosomal RNA
Source: RNAcentral
CCCUUAGAUGUUCUGGGCCGCACGCGUGCUACACUGAGUAAAUCAAUGGGUAAGGGAACACGAAAGUGCAACCUAAUCUUGAAAUUUGCUCGUGAUGGGGAUCGACAGUUGCAAUUUUCCGUCGUGAACGAGGAAUACCUUGUAGGCGCGUGUCAUCAUCACGCGCCGAAUACGUCCCUGCCCUUUGUACACACCGCCCGUCGCUCCUACCGAUUGAGUGGUCCGGUGAGGCUCUGGGACCUGGACGGAAAGAGCGUUUCGCUUGUUCUGUUUGGGAAACUUGGUCGAACCUUAUCAUUUAGAGGAAGGAGAAGUCGUAACA